GCGCAAAGUCACUUUGAGCGACGAAUUAUUUUUCGUCGCGCAAAAUUGGUCGCGCAAGACUUUGAGCGACGAUGUAUUGUCGUCGCGCAAAGUGAUUUUGCAC
MicroRNA precursor from Prunus persica (peach), 103 nucleotides. It matches the Rfam family "MIR6297 microRNA precursor family". The record is from Rfam. NCBI's taxonomy places the organism in Eukaryota, Viridiplantae, Streptophyta, Magnoliopsida, Rosales, Rosaceae.